RNAcentral lists this ribosomal RNA (152 nucleotides) under Umbra pygmaea (eastern mudminnow). Its description in RNAcentral is "partial 28S ribosomal RNA". The record is from RNAcentral. Lineage: Eukaryota; Metazoa; Chordata; Actinopteri; Esociformes; Umbridae.
AAGGGCGGACCGGUGCGGGGUGGUCUAGUUGCGGCGGGGACUUCGGACACUUGUCGGGCCCAUCUCGUGGAUCGCCUCGGCUAGUGGUGGUGUUUGGUCGCUCCGGCGGGGCCACUCGUGCUGCCUCGGCCGGCAUGUAACAGCUGACUUAG